UCCUGCUUUCUCCCUCCCUCUGGAAGUAUGCUCUGGUAAAAUAAAUCCUUUCCAAGACUUGGAUUCCCAGAGAAUGAAGAGAGGAGGAGAAGAGAAGAGGAGAUACCACAACAUUUCUCCAACAUACAAAGAGUUUCCCUGCCAGUCAUGUGAUGGGCCUUCUGCAUGGCUGGACUGAGCACACAGACCACUAGUGCCGGAAAGACAGACUGG
Long non-coding RNA from Erinaceus europaeus (western European hedgehog), 213 nucleotides. RefSeq lists it as uncharacterized. The transcript is spliced from 3 exons. The record is from RefSeq and is a predicted model, not a curated record. Lineage: Eukaryota; Metazoa; Chordata; Mammalia; Eulipotyphla; Erinaceidae.